GAUGAACGCUAGCGGGAGGCCUAACACAUGCAAGCCGAGCGGUAGAGUUUCUUCGGAAACUUGAGAGCGGCGCACGGGUGCGUAACACGUGUGCAACCUACCUUUAUCUGGGGGAUAGCCUUUCGAAAGGAAGAUUAAUACCCCAUAAUAUAAUGAUUGGCAUCAAUUAUUAUUGAAAACUCCGGUGGAUAGAGAUGGGCACGCGCAAGAUUAGAUAGUUGGUGAGGUAACGGCUCACCAAGUCAAUGAUCUUUAGGGGUCCUGAGAGGGAGAUCCCCCACACUGGUACUGAGACACGGACCAGACUCCUACGGGAGGCAGCAGUGAGGAAUAUUGGACAAUGGGUGAGAGCCUGAUCCAGCCAUCCCGCGUGAAGGAUGACGGUCCUAUGGAUUGUAAACUUCUUUUAUACAGGGAUAAACCUACCCUCGUGAGGGUAGCUGAAGGUACUGUACGAAUAAGCACCGGCUAACUCCGUG
RNAcentral lists this ribosomal RNA (479 nucleotides) under uncultured bacterium. Its description in RNAcentral is "partial 16S ribosomal RNA". It matches the Rfam family "Bacterial small subunit ribosomal RNA", at positions 28 to 507 of the family's 1533-position model. The record is from RNAcentral.